RNAcentral lists this ribosomal RNA (529 nucleotides) under unidentified oral bacterium AP60-41. Its description in RNAcentral is "bacterial SSU rRNA". It matches the Rfam family "Bacterial small subunit ribosomal RNA", at positions 8 to 521 of the family's 1533-position model. The record is from RNAcentral.
AGAGUUUGAUCCUGGCUCAGGACGAACGCUGGCGGCGUGCCUAAUACAUGCAAGUAGAACGCUGAAGGAGGAGCUUGCUUCUCUGGAUGAGUUGCGAACGGGUGAGUAACGCGUAGGUAACCUGCCUGGUAGCGGGGGAUAACUAUUGGAAACGAUAGCUAAUACCGCAUAAUAUUGAUUAUUGCAUGAUAGUCAAUUAAAAGGUGCAAUUGCAUCACUACCAGAUGGACCUGCGUUGUAUUAGCUAGUUGGUGAGGUAACGGCUCACCAAGGCGACAAUACAUAGCCGACCUGAGAGGGUGAUCGGCCACACUGGGACUGAGACACGGCCCAGACUCCUACGGGAGGCAGCAGUAGGGAAUCUUCGGCAAUGGACGGAAGUCUGACCGAGCAACGCCGCGUGAGUGAAGAAGGUUUUCGGAUCGUAAAGCUCUGUUGUAAGAGAAGAACGAGUGUGAGAGUGGAAAGUUCACACUGUGACGGUAUCUUACCAGAAAGGGACGGCUAACUACGUGCCAGCAGCCGCGGU